GCAUUGGUGGUUCAGUGGUAGAAUGCUUGCCUUCCACGUGGGAAACCUGAGUUCUCAGCCAAUGUA
RNAcentral lists this transfer RNA (66 nucleotides) under Loxodonta africana (African savanna elephant). It matches the Rfam family "tRNA". Rfam says of the family: Transfer RNA (tRNA) molecules are approximately 80 nucleotides in length. Their secondary structure includes four short double-helical elements and three loops (D, anti-codon, and T loops). The record is from Rfam by way of RNAcentral. Lineage: Eukaryota; Metazoa; Chordata; Mammalia; Proboscidea; Elephantidae.